UUUUCCUAGAACAAAUUCAUGGGUUGGGAUUGCAGGGUCAAAGAUAAGCACAUUUUUAAGGCUUUUGAUAAGUGUCACUAAACAAACCUGCAGGAGAGUUGUACCAGUCUGUCUGUCCUCUGGACUGGCUUUCUUUUCUUUUUCAAUCUUUAUUAUUAUUAUUAUGAAAAUAACUCACGUUUUUAUGAGAUAACUGGAAAUUACUGAACAUAAAAUAUUAAAGAAUUAUUAUUUUUUUAGGUGUGAUCAUGGUUUGUGGCUGCUCUAAAAAAAUAGUCCUUGGGACUUGCCUGGUGGCACAGUGGUUAAGGCUCCGUGCUCCCAAUGCAGGGGGCCCAGGUUUGAUCCCUGGUCGGGGAAGUAGAUCUCACAUGCAUGCCGCAGCUAAGGAGCCUGCGUGCUGCAACUAAGACCCGGCGCAACCAAAUAAAUAAAUAAAUGUUAAAAAAAAUCUUAAUAAAAAAUAGUCCUUAUCUUUUAGAGACACACAAAGUUGUUUUUUUUUUUUUUUUGUGCAACUUGCUUUAUUGCAAUAUUCAUUUUAUUGCAGUGGUCUGGAACCAAACCCACAAUAUCUCCAAGACAGGAAGGAGCUACCAAGACACGCACCAUAUUCCUACCAGCUUUUAAACUUCACCUUACGUUGCAGACGGCUGGCCACUUCCACCCUCUCAUUCCUUACCAGCUUCGCGGUGUUGCCUGUAUCAAAGAACCAUCAUUUAUUUAUCGGAUCCUCUGGUGGUGGCCAGCUGACAUGUCUCCACGGUUCUGCUCUUGAGAACAGUGGCGCCCUGAGCAUGCUUGUGUGUAACAUACCUUUGCGCACGUGAGCAACUCCACACCUGUCUUUCUAGAGGGAAUCACUAGGUCAAAGGGUGUGCAUGCUUAACAUUUUAAUAGAAUGGCUCAGUUGCCCUCCUGCUGGACUUUGUAUGUCUAGUGCCUGUCAUUCUCUCCAAGUGCAUUUCUGAGGACUAUUGUCAUUUGGUGUCUGCAGGAGUCAGAGCCGGAAGGGGCCUCCAUGAUCCUCUGAUCUCCUUCCAGGGCAGCCGCACCUGAGCCCCGGGGAAGGGCGGGACCCCCCUGCCCACAGCGCCCUUGGCCAGGGUCGGGUAGAGCAGUGGUUAUGGAUAUGCUGCCCACUUCUGAAUUAGGCCUCACCAUUUACUGGUUGUACGACCUUGAAUGAUGUCCUCGACCUUCCUGGGCCUCAGUUUCCUCACCUGUAAGCUGGGAGUAAUACUAACCCCAGGCAGCAAUCGGGGGGGGGUGGGCAGUAAGCUGCAUUUGGACCAUUUGGAGUGGCUUCGGGGGACUGCUGGAGGAUGGGAGGUUAAUAAGGACCCCCAUCAGGCACCACUUGGCACUGCCAGAACUGCCUUCGAAUGGUGGUAGUUGGGUUUAGUGAGAUUAUAUGUGAUGGAACCUAGUAUCCAGCAUAGAGCACACUGACAGCGCUCCAUGACCACGGAACCCCGAGAGCCGACGUGACGGCUGACAGGGGCUAGACCAGGACCAGGGAGACCCACCUUCCUGAGAGACUGGCCAGGACAGUGAGGCCCGACCGACAGGAAAAGAGGGGACCCAAGGAAGAGGGCCGACCUGGCCCCCCGCUUGUUAUUGUAAAUAAAGUUUUAUUGGAACACAGCCUCACCCA
Physeter macrocephalus (sperm whale) is the source of this 1657-nucleotide long non-coding RNA. RefSeq lists it as uncharacterized. The record is from RefSeq and is a predicted model, not a curated record. NCBI's taxonomy places the organism in Eukaryota, Metazoa, Chordata, Mammalia, Artiodactyla, Physeteridae. The transcript is spliced from 2 exons.